Cyprinus carpio carpio is the source of this 536-nucleotide long non-coding RNA. NCBI's taxonomy places the organism in Eukaryota, Metazoa, Chordata, Actinopteri, Cypriniformes, Cyprinidae. The record is from Ensembl.
GUAUGGCAACCAAAAUCCAAUGUAUUCAAGACGUCAUAAUGGUAACGUCCAAUCAACGUCAAAUUAUAACGUCAUUUGACUUUGAUCUUUAGUUAGUUUUAGGUUGUGGCAUUAACUAACCAAAAUCCAACGUCGAGCCAACGUCUCAAGCCAACGUCACAUUGACAUCAAAAACUUAUGUUUUGUCGUCAGGUAUGGCAACCAUAAUCCAAUGUUUCCUAGACGUCAUAAUGGCAACGUCCACACAACGUCAAAUUAAAACAUCAUUUGAUGUUGAUCUGUAGUUAGUUUUAGGUUGUGGCAUUAACUAACCAAAAUCCAACGUCGAGCCAACGUCUCAAGCCAACGUCACAUUGACAUCAAAUACUGAUACUUAGUCGUCAGGUAUGGCAACCAAAAUCCAAUGUUUCCUAUACGUCAUAAUGGCAACGUCUACACAAUGUCAAAUUAAAACAUCAUUUGAUGUUGAUCUGUAGUUAGUUUUAGGUUGUGGCAUUAACUAACCAAAAUCCAACAUCAAGACAACGUCUCAAGCG